GCAAGAUUAAAACUCAAAGGAAUUGACGGGGACCCGCACAAGCGGUGGAUGAUGUGGAUUAAUUCGAUGCAACGCGAAAAACCUUACCUACCCUUGACAUGGCUGGAAUCCCCGAGAGAUUGGGGAGUGCUCGAAAGAGAACCAGUACACAGGUGCUGCAUGGCUGUCGUCAGCUCGUGUCGUGAGAUGUUGGGUUAAGUCCCGCAACGAGCGCAACCCUUGUCAUUAGUUGCU
Molecule: ribosomal RNA, 234 nt
Filed under: Janthinobacterium sp. NKUCC08_JDC
Lineage: Bacteria; Pseudomonadati; Pseudomonadota; Betaproteobacteria; Burkholderiales; Oxalobacteraceae
Description: partial 16S ribosomal RNA
Rfam family: Bacterial small subunit ribosomal RNA
Source: RNAcentral